Molecule: long non-coding RNA, 3948 nt
Organism: Sapajus apella (tufted capuchin)
Lineage: Eukaryota; Metazoa; Chordata; Mammalia; Primates; Cebidae
Exons: 2
Source: RefSeq, a predicted model, not a curated record
UCAAACUAUUCUUGAUAAAUUUUAUACAAAUAAAAUACAUUUAUCCUCAACGUUUCUAUUAUGUAAAAUCACUGUGUAUGUAAAUACUGUUUUUACUAUUCUUUUAUUUCCCCAUGCAUUCAUCACAGGUAUCAUGUUUAUUAAUAAGAAAGUUUUUAAUAUUGGGAAAAUAUCAUUUUUGUUACAAUAUUGUCACCAAAUGAUCUUAAUUAUUCCCAUUUAUUAUAAACAUUACUUUGUACUAUUUUAGUUUGCAUGGUCAUGUUUAUAGCCCCUCACACUGCAAAGCUAGGGCUGACUAUAUAUCACUAUCAUUUGUUUUCUUAAAUAUUUUGAGAUAUUAAUACUGUAUCUCUUCUGUUGAAUUAAUUCUAAUUUUAAAAAAUAGUAGUCAAAUAAACAUUACAUUGCAGGGAUAACUUGGGAGGUUUAGCUUAAAACGCAAAACAUAUGAGUCCCCCAGAUAGCACUGAUAGAAGAAGAAAAAUAAGGAAAGCAGUUGGUAGCCAAAGGAAAGAAGAAUAUAGGCUAAAUGAAAUCGGGCAUAUUUAACUAAAAAUCAGAAAGAGGAGAAAGGUAGUACAAUGUCUGCAUUAAUGAAAAAUGUAAGUGAAUUACAUGAAUUAGAAAAAAUACAAAGUAUAAGAAGAAGGAAAAAGUUCAUGGGCAUUGUACCCAAAUAUAUGCAUUCUAAUCCUCAUCCUUUCAUGUAUUACUAGAGUGAAUUUGGGAAGGUAAGGUUUUUUUAUGAACUUCAACUUUCUGUUUGUAAUAAUUGAGUUAGCAAUGUACUUCACAGUGUUAUGUGGCCUACUGCAUGUAAGUUUAAUCUAGUUUGGGUAAUGAGUGGUGAUAGAAUAAGGCUUUCUUGAGAAGUUGAUAUUUAAACUGAGAACUGAAGGAUGAGUUGCCUAGGCAAUAUUUGUCAGAAUAGAUGGAGAGUGAAUUGGGGGUGGGUUGUAAGGGGAGGAUGGAGGUGAGGAAAAGGAUUUAAAGCUAGUAUGUUAGAAAUAACCACUUAAAUUGAAAGUUUAAAGCUCUGGAAAAAUGAUUAUGCCUCUUGGAGAUUUUAAAACUCAGCUUUUAACAUAAACUCAUAUAUCUUCUCUAUCCCUAUCAGGAGGUUUCAGGAUGCUGUUUAAUUGUCAAUAGAUGGUGAUAUUUAUGAUUGGUCUAAACGCCUUACUAGGGUCUUGUCAGGUAAAUAGAUAGGUCGUAAUUAGGAAUUUAAUUCCACAGGGACCUAAAAAGGCAAUCUUUCAUUAAUAUAAUAACACCUUAUACCUGCCAGGUUAACCUUAAUUUGCAAGAUGAAGUGCUCUCUUAAAGACACAGUGACCUCUCCACUUAUAAAGUGUUUUUAUUUCCUAAAUUUACUCUUCUUCCACUGCAUUCUCCUCAGUUUCCCAGCUGUCUCCAUUUUCAGACACACAGCCAUACACACAUAUGCAUGCACAACACAGACAUGCACACACGAACAAGAUAUAACUUUAAAUCAAGCCCUGAGACACUUUCAGUUUAGAGUAAGGUUAGCUAAUCUGCUUUUGCUCUUGCUGUUGUAUGAUUAUUACAGUUAAGGAUUGACUUGCACACCAGCCACUUUUGCAGUUUGAAGGUGGAUUAGUGUUGCCCUGUUACUUCAGUAAGUUCUCUUAUAGCUAAACUUGCUUUUUGAAUUUAAACUGCUUUUGUUAUUUCUACUUGAUAUUGGAUUCACAAUAAUUCAAAAAUUGAUUUAGAUAUUGUUUAAUAGAUAGGAAAUAACAAGCUUAGUUUUGAUAUUACAACAAACUGUGACCUCAGUCAGAUAACUUCAUCUUUUUGGGCCAAGAUUGCUUACUGAUAACAGAUAAGCUUGAAUAAAACAAUGUCUUAAUUCUAUUCAACAUUCUGUGAUUCUGUGAGCUAAAAAGUCUGACAACACCAAAACCAUUAUAUUCGCUUACCAUCUACAUACACAGAUUUUAUUAUACUUAAAUUAUAGGUUCCAUCACACCAGUCUGUAAUUCUGUUUUAUAUAUUGUUCUAGGACUUUGCUUUAGACCUCCUAUCACUUCUUUGAUUAGAAAUAUAUCUUUAUAAACCAUGAUGCUAUCCUUGUUUCAGAUUUAUGUAUCCAAGGGCAAGCUAUAUAUCUCCAAUUAUAGGUAUCACAAGAAACUCCCACCUCAUCUUAUGCAAAAUUGAAGCCUGGGGAGCCUGUGCUCCAGUGAAUUUUAUUCAUUCUAAGUGUUGAGAACUGCUGUUCUAGAGCGAAAGCAAAAAAAUAACUUUAUGUUAAUCCUAUCAGUCUCCAGUAGGACAUUCCUAGGAUAUUAGAGACCUAGGAAAAUUGGUUUUCUUUUCUGGCUGAAUUCCUGUACUUGUAAACUGUUUGAAUUUAAAAUGUAUUACAAAAUUAAUAGAACACAUUAUUUAUUGAUUUAAUGACUUAUUGAUAAAUAUUUAAAUUAAUAGCUAGAGAAAAGCUACUUGAUCUUUGUUUAUUGCCCAAUCAGUGCAUAAGGAUUUCAUACUAUUAAGGAAAUAUUGAUUCCUUUUUGGUCCAGGAAUCAUUGCUUCCUCUUCUUAAUUGAAAAUGUAGUAUUACCAGUUAAUUUCAUAUCUCCCACUGCAAGAAAAAUGUGACAAUGCUAUUUUUACUCAAAAUGACAUUGCUCUUUGGAAUCUUGUUCAUAUUGAAAUAAUAUAAAUGUCUUGCCUCUGCAGUUCCCUAAUACCAUUGAUUUAAUGCUUAUUACAUUAUCCAUUAUGUGGAAUCAUCUACCAUACGACUAUGAACAUUCUAUUCCAAUGCCUGUCUCAAAGUUUGUUAAUAUGUUUUGUUGGUUAUGAUCAGCAAUGUAAGUUUUACCCAUGAUAUAUAGGGAAUUUUGUGCAAUAUUUAAUUUAUGGACAUAUUAAAAUUACCAAAGGAAAUUCAUAUAGUAAGUUAUACCAUCAACUCCCUUGAUUCUCAGACUUUCUGACUUGGAGUGAAUUAUAUCAUCAGCUUUCCUGGCAUUCUAGCUUGCAGAGAGCAUAUUGUGGAACUUAGUUGUCUCCAUAAUCAUAUGAGCAAAUUUCCAUAAUAAAUCUCUUGCAUAUCUGUAUGUAUCCUAUUGGUUCUUUUUCUCUGGGAAACCAUGACUAAUGCAAAGGUCAAAGAUAAUCCUUCAAGGAUCUGGUCCAGGAUGGUAAUGCCAACCUUGGCCACUCCCAGGUACUGGAGGGGGCUUAGAAAAUUUUGAAGAAAGCACGCUGAUGCACCAGGAAUACCCUCAGAUGUGGGCCAAGAACAAGGACCCUCUUUUCCAGGCUAAGCAUGGUCCUGAUCCACCAUAUAAAAGUUAUAUUUUUCUGGUUAUAUCUCCUAAAUAUUUACUUCAUUCUCUUUCCAUUCAACCAUAGCUCUCCUAUCAUAAGCUGUAUACUGUACACUUUAGGAAAAAUAAAUAUAUGUGGCUUUUUAUUUGUUUGUUUGUUUUUAAUUCUCUAAACUUCAUGACUUUGCUCAUUCUGCCCUGACUUACUUUCUGUCCCUUAGCUUAGCUAACUCUUAAACAUUUUUUUUAAGUUUCAGUAAGCAUAGAAUGAUCUUGGAAACUUUGUUAAAACUAUAUGUGCUUGGGUUUAUUUCUGGUCUUCCAUUUCUAUUCCAUGAGCCUGUAUGUCUAUCCUUACGUCAGUAUAACAGUUUUUUGAUUACUGUAGCUUUACAGUAGGAUUUGAAAUCAGGAAGUGAAAGUCUUUCUACAUUGAUUUUUCUAUUUCAAUAAUGUUUUGGCUAUUUGGAGUCUCUUACACUUCCAUAUCAAUUUGAAGAUAUGUUUUUCUAUUUCAGCAAAAAAGGCCAUUGGAAUUUACAGGAGUUAUGUCGAAUCUUUAUCUCACUAUAUGGGAAAAGAAUAGUUUCUUCCACAAAUGGUGCUGCUACAAUUGGAUAACCACAUACAAUCACUCCAUAUG